GAAACCAACAGGGAUUGCCUCAGUAACGGCGAGUGAAGCGGCAAAAGCUCAAAUUUGAAACCCUCGGGAUUGUAAUUUGAAGAUUUGGCAUUGGAGAAAGCUAACCCAAGUUACUUGGAAUAGUACGUCAUAGAGGGUGACAACCCCGUCUGGCUAACCGUUCUCCAUGUAUUGCCUUAUCAAAGAGUCGAGUUGUUUGGGAAUGCAGCUCAAAGUGGGUGGUAAACUCCAUCUAAAGCUAAAUACUGGUGAGAGACCGAUAGCGAACAAGUACUGUGAAGGAAAGGUGAAAAGAACUUUGAAAAGAGAGUGAAAUAGUAUGUGAAAUUGUUGAUAGGGAAGGAAAUGAGUGGAGAGUGGUUUAGGUUUCAGCCUUCUUUCGAGGGGGUGUACUACCAACGCCGAGUCAUUGUCAGCGAGACAGGGGUUAUAAACGGGUUGCCUUCUGGCUUCUCACCUAACCCCU
RNAcentral lists this ribosomal RNA (466 nucleotides) under [Candida] sp. 2 PN-2013. RNAcentral describes it as "eukaryotic LSU rRNA". It matches the Rfam family "Eukaryotic large subunit ribosomal RNA", at positions 61 to 495 of the family's 3401-position model. The record is from RNAcentral. Lineage: Eukaryota; Fungi; Ascomycota; Saccharomycetes; Saccharomycetales.